Molecule: long non-coding RNA, 10007 nt
Filed under: Heterocephalus glaber (naked mole-rat)
Lineage: Eukaryota; Metazoa; Chordata; Mammalia; Rodentia; Bathyergidae
Description: lncRNA (ENSHGLG00100051736.1)
Source: RNAcentral
AGAAGAGCCAUAAGAGAAAUUAGCAAGAGCUGACUUUCAUCCCAGGGAGUGGAAGCAUGAAAACUAGGACUGUAGUGAGAAAGCCCAUGAGAUAAAGUUGAAGUAUUUAAGGCUGAGGGAAGUUCUGUGCUCAUGCAUUCAUGUUGAAUCUUUCUCCCCAGAGUUUUGAGGGGAGAGAUUCUGGAUCUUUUCUAUAGUGAGGAAAGAAAGUCUACUUCCUGCUGAAGAAAGGCACCUUACUGGCUUCAGGUCUGGAUAUAGCUUGUCUGCUAGAAGCAGGUCAUGAUCCCCUAUAGUAGCUCUGGAAUCUAUGCUGUAUUAGAAAAAAUGGUCCCGGAGAACUGGUACUUCAAUAAUUUGACUCAAAUAAAAUUGUAUGGCUUCUGAGUUUCCACAUCUAUUAUGUAAUUCUGUUGUUCCUUAAAUAUGGCCUUCUCUCUAGGGAGAUCACAUUUACCAAGGCCUAUUUCAAAAGAUAUAAAUCAAAACCCAGGAAUUGAAGAUAUAAGUCAAAACCUGGGAAACAUCUUUCAGUUGGGUCAAAGUCCCAGUGAAUUUGAGGAGGAAAGAAAUAAAUUAUCAGUCCUCUUGCUGCUGAUUCUUUGCUGUGGAAAAGCCUUUUGUUUACUCUGUUGGCAAUCACUGGAUUGAUUCAGAAAAAUUACACCUUUAAUUUCCCUUUGGAAAUAUUUGCAACAAUGAAGAGGAGAAUCUACUUUUCCUAAGCCUGACAGCCUCCUUGAUGUGUCUGUGAUUAAAGAACCACUGAGAAGCCUAAGUAGAUGCCAUUGCAAUUAGAGACUGUGGGAGGAGAGUGAAGACAGGCUGCAUCUUCUCCUUCCUCACAUCUUCUCAUUGGAUCCAGAGUGGAAAGAGGGCAGUUAGGACAUGACCAGCCUUGGAUGAGACUGUGAGCCAAUCAUAGGAAGAUUAUUAAAAUACCAUAGAAAAUAAAGAUGCAGAACAACCAACCUUUAUGUCAGGAUCUGCAGAUUACUUGCAUCAUUCUAUCACUUCUCAUGAAUUAUACACUAAAGCCCAUUAUAGAGGUACCUUGGUACUUAUUGUUAAUAAGUAAGACAAGUGUGCUGUGCUUCUUCCAUCUUUAAAAUGGGCAUACUAGUCCUCCUUUUGUAGGUUUGCUGUGAUCAUUAAGAGAGUCAAAUGCAUAUGAAGCACUUAAGAUAGGUCUAGAGCAGUGGUGGCGAACCUAUGGCACAUGUGUUACUUAUUUUUCUUUUAAGACAAAGGAUGUUAACGUACGAGUUGUUUUUUCUAAACUAAAACUUCAUUAUUCAAGUUUAAUUGCAGUAUUGACACUGCGAUAAAUAAGCAGGUUAUGGGUUGCAGUUUGGGCACUUGUCUCUAAAAGAUUCAUCAUCACUGGUCUGGAGGCAGUCUUGGAAUUAAGUACCAUAUAUGUAUUUCUUGUUGAAGUACAGUAGAGAGUGAUGUUAUUUGUGUUGCAUGCUGGAAUAAAUGGGGAAUAUGAUUUUCUAGUGUCUAUAGGGGGCUUGUUGAAAAAUUUCUGGUGUAUUAUGUAAUUAAUAUAUGUAAAAACACAAACAAGAAAAGCUUCUUUAAAUUUACAUAAUAUAUUCACAUAAAAUAAUUUUUAAAAUGCAACGUAAAAUUGCACUUAUCUGUCAUGGUGGACAGAAAUCUUUGCAAAAAUGGUUGGAGGUAAACAGUUCAGGAACUUUGCUUAAGGGCCUUAAGGGUCAAAAUAACAAUUAUGAAUUCAGGAAGUUUUUAGAGGGAGUCAUUUAAAUCAUGCCUUAAGAGAAUUUCAAUCAUUGCAAGGUUUUCAAAUGGUAGUUUAAAGAAGAUUGAAUAUUCUGGCCAUUAUGAAGAGGUAGAGGCCCUCACACCUCUUGGCCACUUGGAGCUUGCUUUUGACCUGUGCUGGCUGGCCAGAACUCGGCAGUUUGCAAGCUCUCCCAUACACCACUGCUACUUGAUAUAUGAGUGAGACAACUGUUCCUUUUCAAAAGCACAUUACUAAAUUAUCUUGGUCCACAAAGGAGGACCCAAACUGGGCCUUUGUAGGAGGAACUAUUUGAGGCCCUUUCUGAGCAGUCACUUCACACUGCACAAACGGGCAGAGGAAAGGGUGGCUUGAGCAGCUAUGGCUCAGAACAGCAGCAGGGAGGACAUUAGGCAAGGACCCAUUUAUAGGGGAUUGUGCUGGCCAGGAGCUACCAGAUGAGGCUGUAGGCCGAUUUGUCUCUCUGAAACCUGUACCUGAGCUGCUUUCCUCCAGUCAACUGCAGUCCAGAAUUAAACUGAGCUUGUUUUCCUUACCCUUCCUCACUAUGCAGUCUGAAGAGCUCCAGUGGAUUUUUUAAAAUAUGAAAUUAAAUCUUCUCUUGCCCCUAUCUGAAUAAUUCUAUGCUUCUUAUUAUUGUUUCCCUGCCGUGAACUCAAGGAAGAACUGCAUGUUCCAGCCAAGCCUAAUGAUUGUUUUAUAAAUAUUUAUAAGUCAGUUACUAUCUUCCUUUCUUUCUUCCCCCUUCCUAGCUAUACAUUAUUUGAAGGCCCAUUCUUCCUUUCCUAGGAGCUCUUUGGCAUUUUUCUGGGCUGGGAGAGUGUUCUGGGUUUGACAUUUUUCUUUGAUUUGCUUGCCUGUAUGUUGGGAGUAUUUGUUGAGAAGCUUCAUCCCGAAGUAUUUAAAGUUGGCUUCCUGAGGCUACCUCAUUGUUCACAUGUGCCAAAACCGAACCUAAGCCUCUAUGUAGAGAUUUAUGUUCUUCUGCAGAAGAGAGAACCUAUUUAGCAAAUUCAUUUAUCAACAGAGGGAACUUCACUCUCAUUCUCUGGUUAUCUCUGUAUCUUUUGUCUAUUUUUAAAAAUAGAUCAGAACUGGUGAGGGUAGCGAAAGUGGAAAAGUCAAGCAUUGAAACCAAUGACCAGUUGUAUGUAUCAAGUCUUGUUCCUGGAAAGACUGUUCAUUUUCUGGCAAUGAAUGGCAUCCCAUCUAUGGAUUUUGAAAGCAUGCCCAAGUGGCCAGAGCCCUCAGAAAGUGAUGCCAACCUAAUCAGAUGGAGUUAAAUGUUCCAGAAAUAUUGUAGAAGAUUGAUUUCCUUUUAAAAUUCUAAACAUGGAAUUAGUAUAGGCGGUAAUUGCUAAAUAAAUGUAGGCAUAGUAUCUGGUACCAAUAGGGUCUCGUGCUGAUUAUGAUGGGAUAAUGUCAAAGCAAGGGAGGGCACUAUGGAACUGAUAGGUCCUUCAGAGUGUCUCCACCUUAACCAGAACUUGAUUUCUUACUUGGCAGAUGUGCCUGGAGCCAUGACUAUUGUAUUAAGAUCUUCCAGGGAACCAAUCAAUGGGGAUUUGCUUUCCCAUGCUACUUUACUGGGAGAACUGUUAGGCAACAGGGGUGCAUAAUCUUCAUAAUAGUAACAUCACCAGAAGAACAGCAUCAACAGUAAGAGUAGGAACAUGUCAAGUUUCUACUUUGUAUAUGCAAAGGGCUUAUCUUAUGUUCUCUCAUUUUACAAUGAUGCUGGGGAAACACUGUACUCAGAUAAAAAUAUUUGGGCCAAAUCUCUAAGAGACAAAGAAACUGGGACUUACAGAGACUAAGUAAAGUGCUCAGGGUCAAGGAAUGACACAGCCUGGACGGACUUGAGACGUCUGUCUCAGAGCUGGUGCUCUGAAGCUCAACAGUAAGCACUUCCCAAGAUAAGGAAAUGGACCCCAGGGAACAGUAGAAAGAGCUAUUCACUGGUCUCCAUUUCCACAUCUGAUAAAGAUGAACACUUUGAGGUAUCUUCUGAAAUUUUCAGUGAUCCUAUGAAGUCUUCUCUAUGUGGGAUUCUGUGUUCCUCAGAGGCCUCCAAUGGAGAAGAAGGCAAGAACUAGUCCUUAGAAUAAUCUAUGGAGAAAGAGACAAACAAGUAUAUCUUACCUGGACUUAUCUGAGCCUCCAUGAACCAAGUCCUGCAUUUGAAAGGAUUGCAUAGAGCUUUCCCAUGUAAGUCAUGUGUAAAGACAUACAAGCUUUCUACUUGCUACAAAUUAAGGCCAAAAAUCCUGGAAUGAUAUAUACCAGACCAUAUAGAGGACUCCAUGCCAGCAAACUGCCAACUCACAAACCAUAAGCCCAGCAAAGUUCCCCAGCAAAGCACUCUCUGGUCUCUGUGUACAGGUAUAGGAAAGGGGACUAAAAAAUUUUAUCAAGUUUUGAAAUCUAGGUAAAUCAAAACAAAUAAGGGCUUCGUUGAAUUAGGUCUAGUAGACUACUUAAAUGUGGGCUAAGUGGCCUGGUAUGGAGUAGCAGUUUUCACACUUACAUGUUUAACAAUAGAACUCUUGGAAAACAAAAUCUCAAAUAGAUUUUUACUCUGUUUAUGAGAUAAGAUGGGAGUUUCUCAGAUUUUAUAGGAGGGAUGCCCUCCUCCCCCAAUCACCUCUGUUCCCAAUACCACUGAGGCAGCUCCAGAACCCCCCUGAGAUUUAUAAGCUCCCUUCUAUAUUUUGGGAGAACUCUAUAUUUACAUUCACAUUCAGUAAAUUUUGAAGACAAGUUUUAAAGUAACAACAAAUUACAGUUUAAUCAAAUUAAUAUAUUGUUUUAGUGAUACAGAAUUUAAAUUGGUCAAUUCCAAGUUAAUGAUGUUUGGCUGAUUUUAUGUACUACAAGUAUGAUAGAAUUUGAAAAUAAAGCUGUUUAUAGUAGAGCUUUUCAAAUAUUCACAGAAUAGGUAGACUAUUUAAUGAAUCUCUAUGCAUUAAUUACCAGGUUUCACUAGUUCUCCCCCAUUUUUGUCUGUCUCAAAUUCUCUUCUCAUUUUUUUCUUUAGUGUAUUUUAAAGCAAAUCCCAGACACUGUUAUUUCACCCAUACAUACUUCAGUAUUCAUUUCUAAGAAACAGCACUUUAAAAAAAAACUACAUGUCAUUAUGAUACCUGACAAGACUAAUAAUACCACUUCAAUACAGUUGUGAUAUUUUAAUUUUUGAAUUUUAAUCUAAUUAGUGUUUUUCCAAAUAUAUUUUGAAGAAUAUUCAUUUUGAUAUACACUAGUAUUUUUAGAUUAAAGCAUUUCAUGGUCAAAUUAUUCCUGCUAUAAAGUUAAAUUCUCCACCUACAAGACUUCUUAAAAUUUGCAUAGGUUAAUUUCCAUGAGACUCUCAAAGAAAGGAGUAGGAUAUCAGAAAGUUUGAAAUUUAUUUGACUACUAGUACAUUAGUUUUUCAUGGAGUAUGAGACAGGACAAGGGUACUACAUAAUAUAUUGGUGUAGAAAGCAGAUUACAAUCCCUGGAGUGUACAUUUUCAAAGAAACUUCACAUCCAUAUCCCUUAGAAAAGUAAGGACCCAACUUUACUCUCACUGGGCAGUAACUGUAGAUGUUGGAUGGAUACUGAUUGUCAUAAUACCAGGCACCAAAGAUGCUGCUGGAAAGAGGUCUGCAAUCUAAUUAUCACCAGCUUGAGCCCUAAAUUACUAAUCAUCUAUUACUCUAUCAGUUCUGUUCACUUUCACAUGUUGCUUGCUUGCAGAAGUUCAAGACGGGGGUUAAAUAACCACGUGCUCCUAGCUACUGGCCAUAGCUAUCACAUGGUCCAGUCUCCAAGUUGGGGGGUGGAUGCCAUGUUGAAACUUCACAUUACCUUAAGCUCAUUAUAAUUUCAUUGUGAUGAUUUAAAAAGCACAUCCACUGGCACCAGGACAGAUCCACCAUGAUGCCCCAAAUUAGUGAAGAACAGAGGUAGUAUCCUGAUCCCUGGAUAUCUUCUCCCCUUUCUGUCAAAAGUUCUGAUGACAGUACGCAUAUCACACCCCUCAUAACCCAGCCCCAGUAAAAAAGAAAAAAAGAGACCCCAGACCUGCUCCAGGAGAAGACUCCCAAAGAACCUGAGGUCUUCUUUUCCAUACAUUGAUGGUUGGGUAAAAUUUCCUGCCUGUUCCUCCCAGUAGAGAUCUUCUUUCCAGGAGGUAUACGAUGAAAGUAAACUUGGGCAGGGCCUGGAAGGUUAAGUAGAAGAGAGGAAAAUAUCUGGAAUACGACUGAAUAACACAGAUAAGAAUACAAGGCUCUGAAUGAUAAUGUUUUUAGGAAGCAGUGAGACAGCCCAGGCAGGCUGGGGAGAGGUGGGAAGUGAGUCCCGAUAGAACGUGGUGGUAUGAUGUCAAACUAUUUGAGAGCAGGGACUGUAGCUUUUAUAACACCCUUCCAAAUAUAUAACUUAAACACAGAAGGCCCAAAUAAACAGAUGUUUAUAUAUUGAAUUACACUGAAUAUAAUGAGCCAUAUAUUUAUGUAUCUCAGAAUAAAUUCAUUGAACAAUGACAUAGCAUUUUACCUUUUAUAGGAAAGACCCUAGGUUUGUGGACUGCAGGAAGUGAGGAAAGAAAUAAAAGACUAGAAACACGGGAUAUCUGGGGGCAGAAGUUACCAAAAUAGAGCUCUGUAAUGAUAAUGAUAGCUGGAGAAUUUAGAGGAAGGGCUGAAUUGGUAAAACAAGAGCCUGAGGGCAUUGAACUUCUCUGGGACAACAAGGCAAGAAGAAAAGAAGAUUAUCAAAGAGAAGUAGAAUGUCUUUACUUGAGUAGAAAAUGGAAUUUUAUUUUAAAGAGGAUUUGGGGUUUUAGAAUAGGUCCUGCCAUUAAAUAAUGUACAUCAUCUAGAGCUUUGCUACUCAAAGGAUUGCUCCCAAGCUGGUACAAAUCCUCAAGUUGUGUUUCUCAUCAGCAAUGAAUAAAUAUUAGAGUUGUGGGAAAGCCACAUGAACUGACUAGACAUCCAAGCAAGUGAUUAUUUUCUAGUAAUUAACAUUUAUUUCAUUUUUACAAAUGUAUCAACUUAAAUAAUGUUAACAAAACAAUAGUGUUUCACCACAGAUGGGUUGAGAAGUAGAAUCUAGAGAUAAUUCGCACAUGCUUUUAGGAGUAUGUCUUCUCUCUCAGCCAGUUUUUGUUCUGUAUUAAAACAAGUAAUCACUUCUUUGUUAGAGAGAAAGCUGGUUUGCACCUAUAAGAUGGCUGUUUAAUUAGGUUAUGCAUCAAAUUGUUAGAAGUCAUACUUGGCAUAGGGAGGUGCUCCCACUUGGAGAAACACAGACAACAACUGGGAGAAACUGGAGUUACCCCAUUCAUUCCCACUGAGUAAAAUAACAGGAAGAAUUCUCAGCCUUGGACAAAUUAUUGUCUCAUUCUAUCUUGCUUUCCUACUUCCCAUUCCAUCCUUUAUAUUGGCCACAUGCACUUAAUAUUUUGCCACUACACAAUGUGACUUCAUUGUAUAGGAUCUUUGUUCACAAAAUACUCUAGCAUUUUCUUUUUUGAUGUGUUCAUCCUAACAGAAACAAAGGUAGGCAUAAGCUGCCACCACUAUCCCAUUUUAGAGAAGAAGACACUGAUACACAGAGAAGAUACCUUUGGAACCCACAUCUUCUGAUUGCCUGCUAAGCGGUCUUGACUUUUGGCCAAAGUAGGAAGCAGCUGGGCACAGUCUCAUAGGUUCCAAAGUACUUUAAAACUGUAAAUGAAGCAGUGUGUGGAGCCAGUAUGGAAUCUGGCAGAAGAAGAACAUGCGGUGAAGUUUUGACAAAUAACUGCAUUCAUACAUAGACACUAUAACAACAGUGUUUGGAAAGCAUGAUUGGUGGCCCAAAACAGUCAUUGCUUGUUCUUGAUUUGGUGAAAAAUAAAGGUAUGUGUCUUCACCUGCUUGUUCCUUGAUGUCCCAGCCAUUUCUUUCAUGACACUUUCAUAGGCUGUGGGGACUGGGAGCCUCAAAAUAGCAGACAAAAAUAACCAAAUUAUAUGUGUUUCAAUGAUAUUAGGAUGUGCUUUUUUAGAAUGGCUAUAGAGGACUGGACUGUACCUCCCCAGUCUUAGAAAAUAUAGUAAUUCCAGUAUUCCUAAUCUUCUGGGAAUAUGGCAAGACUAAGCAUAGCAUAGUCCCUGUUCAACUGAAUGUUAGAUGUUUGCAAGUUUGAUAUGGGACAAUAUAGCUAUUAUUACUGUUGUUAUUCAUAAGUAUAAUGUGUAUGCAACUCAAUAUAGGUAAAUACUUAACAUACUUAUUAGUAUGUGAUAGAUGCUUAAGAAAUAGCAGUCAUUGCAGUAAUACCUUGGUUUACAAAUGCUUCUGUUUGCAAACAACUUGGUUGGCAAACAGAAGUGUUCGGCAAAUUUUGGAUCCAUUGAUGAAUUCCGCUUCAGGUGAUGAACACAACCACAGCCAUCUUCCCCCUCAAGAAAAACAAAUGCGGACAUCUUCCCCAGAAUCAUGGAACAAAACCACUGUAUUUCAAAUAUAUCAUUGCAUUUAUCACUCACAGGUCUCCUAGUAGGUAACUGUUUUUAGUGCAAUCUGCAAAUGAGGAAAGAACCAGAGAAGAAAUGUGACAUAUAAACCGAUAGAACUCAACACAACAGGAAUAAAUAUCACAUCUAAUUCCAAAGUACACCCUCUUCAUGUUAAAAAUAUCCACCAAAGCAGCUAAAAUGAAAAGGACUGAUAGUAUGAAAGCAUGGAGCAAUUGGACCUUGAGUACCCUGCUAGGGAAAUGUAAUCCACUUUGGAGCAACAUUAGAGACCUGAACUUAAAUUGACCAUCUUCACAUCUUACAUUCCCACAUUUCUAGGCACAGCAAUAGAAAUACAUGGCAUAGAUUUAGAAGAACUCUGUAAGAAUAUUCAUAGAUUGCUCAAUUAUUUAUACUUGCUCUAAACUAGAAACAAUCAGAAUGUUUAUCAUCUGAAGAAUGUGUAUAAUAAUUGUACUAUGUUCAUACAAUGCAGUGCUGUGCAACUUUAAAAAUGAAGAAACUCCCAUGACAGUCAACUACAUGGAUGACGAUAUUAGAUAUAAAGUGAAAGAAAGAAGGAGAAAGAAGCUAGAAGGCUCUCACCAAUGGCCAAACACAGGCACCCACCCAGUCUUGAACUUUUAAUUUCAAAAACUGCAAGUGUCACCCUUGUGAAGAAUUGCAAGGCACUAUUCAUACUCAGCAUUCCAAAAAUUACCAUUUUACAGUAUGAUUCUGGCAGUUCCAGUACAGACUCUGCAACAUACAUACUCUGAUGUUAAAAUGCCAGCAGCACUGAGAUUCUUGGAAAGUCCUAGAGAACAGAGGAAGAAGAAAACAUGUGGAAGAAAAGAUAAGAAGAGCAGCAUUACUUCUAGGACAACCCUAGUGGGGAUAAAAGUCAGAAGUGCUGAAAAUAAGCAAAAGAUGAGCUUGUUUCUUGUCCUUUUUCCAGGCAUAUAAAGUAAUAUUUCAGUGCCAAUAUUAUGUUUUCCUUCCUUCCUACUCCAUUCUUCCUUCUCACCCCUUGGUUUAUGCUGCCAUCAGUUCAUGUCAGUGUCCUUGUCUUCCUGUCCCUGUUUAUCUUCUUCCUGGGAAUAUUCUCAUGCACUUCCUUCUCCCUCCUCACUUCAGCCAAGUUCAUCAAUUUGACUCCCCUGUGAAUCCCACCUUCAUAACAUAACAGGAAGUAUAUCAAAUACACUAGAUCGAACCAUUGGAGUGAUUCUGCCUCAGGUUUCUUUCUUUCCCAAAAGACACAGGUUGAAAGGGAUCUUGCAUAUUCUUGCAAUCCAGCCUUGUUUCUCAUCGUAUUUGGAUCCAGCCACUUACACAGGCUUCUAAAUGUGAGGAAAUCUCCCUGGUUUUUCUUGUCUUUGUUCUUCCAUUCUUGUCAUCUACUUGGUUACAGUAUCCUGACCAGAUGCUGAAUUUCACUGACUCUUCAUUGGCUUGAAUACAGUCUUUAAACGUUCCUAGUCUUUUCAUUCACCUCUGCCCCUCCCCCCACUACUUUGACCUUAUUCUUUUGUAAAUAUCCUAAUUUCUUUCAGGAAUCAGGACUAUCAUAAGUAGAUAAGUAAAUUUUAAAAAGGAAAACACAGCCGAGAAUUCUCUGAUUUGCUUGUGUCCAUGCCGAGCCAGAGCUGACCUACUUGUCGCUGACAGCUGCUUCAGUCCAUGACCAGGACUUGACCCCUCCAGGCACCAUCUUGCAUUUUUCUCUAUUUACCACCCACCCAG